GUGCUUGCAGGUGCAGCACCAUCAAGAUUCACAUCCACCUCAUCCUCAGUUGAUGCUACACAGCAUGCACACCUGAUGAGAUGAGAAUCUUGAUGAUGCUGCAUCAGCAGGCAC
This 114-nucleotide microRNA precursor is filed under the name Setaria italica (foxtail millet). RNAcentral describes it as "mir-172 microRNA precursor family". It matches the Rfam family "mir-172 microRNA precursor family". Rfam says of the family: mir-172 has been experimentally verified in Arabidopsis thaliana. This family is thought to target mRNAs coding for APETALA2-like transcription factors. RNAcentral also lists the same sequence under 1 other name. The record is from Rfam by way of RNAcentral. Lineage: Eukaryota; Viridiplantae; Streptophyta; Magnoliopsida; Poales; Poaceae.